GGUUUCCUGCUGUAACAUAGCAAAAUAAUAAGCAGAAAAAUACAAAGAUAGUAAAGUUGAAUUGCAAGUACUUACCUCAUCCAUUACAACUUGAGAUGGACUUUGAUGUACACUAACGAAGUCUUACUCCUUCUCAAGGGGAUAGAUCAUCUUUUACCAAGAUAGGACAGCUUAUAUUCAUUAUAUCUUUUUAAUUGUACAACAUUACUGUAUAUACUGAGAUAAUUUUAACUGUUGUUUAAUUACUGUGUGGUGUGUAGACUGUUUUACCUGUAUUUUAGUGUAGUAUCAAGUUUAUUAUAACAAUAACAAUGACUAUUUAGCUAACUAUUAGGUGCGAUAAUGGCAGUAGUGACGUUAUUACUCUAAA
Amphimedon queenslandica is the source of this 370-nucleotide long non-coding RNA. RefSeq lists it as uncharacterized. The record is from RefSeq and is a predicted model, not a curated record. The transcript is spliced from 2 exons. Lineage: Eukaryota; Metazoa; Porifera; Demospongiae; Haplosclerida; Niphatidae.